This 168-nucleotide long non-coding RNA is filed under the name Mustela putorius furo (domestic ferret). RNAcentral describes it as "lncRNA (ENSMPUG00000030490.1)". The record is from RNAcentral. Lineage: Eukaryota; Metazoa; Chordata; Mammalia; Carnivora; Mustelidae.
CAGUCUACCUGAGUCUACGUGGGAGGCCAUUUUGGAGCACUGCAUGGAGUCUGUUCUCCAACCGUGUGUCCCAUCUGCCAUCCAUCUAGGCUACUGGGAAGGAGAAAAGGACUUUUCUUUACCCUCUAGCUCCUGGGCAGCAUUCAAGAGUUAUGGACUUCUGUUCCC